UACGAAGGUACGAAAAACGAAGACGGACUAAGACUCAUCGGCUAACGGUCUUCGUCGUUCCCAUUACAUAACACUUUUGUUCUACAACAACACUUUUGCCUUUUUAUUUUUUUCACAUUUCUGGUACAGAAAAAAUGGACAGAAAGAAACUCUAUUAUACUAUUGUCAACUUCCGUCUUCAAUUACCACACCCUGCAGUCAGGUAAUUGACUUGAUACAUUCAAACAUUCUUGUCAAUGAAUCCAACGGUCAUGCGCAUAUUUUGUGCUUUAAAAUUGGAUCUACCAUACUUAGUGUAUGCUACAGCAAGAUAAUUUCGAGGAGAAAAAUAAUCGGCAAGAAUCGAGGACGAUUGAUCGACCAACUUAUACUAUAAAUAAUGACGGACUAAAUGCGAAAAAAUACAUAAAAAUAUUUCAAUAUUUAGAGCAUUUUAUAAAACUAAUAGUGUAUGAUUCACGUCCUUUUACGUUUUAAAAAUGUUCCAGUGAUAUAUCUUAUUUGAUGACCUACAA
Long non-coding RNA from Xenia sp. Carnegie-2017, 515 nucleotides. RefSeq lists it as uncharacterized. The record is from RefSeq and is a predicted model, not a curated record. NCBI's taxonomy places the organism in Eukaryota, Metazoa, Cnidaria, Anthozoa, Malacalcyonacea, Xeniidae. The transcript has 2 exons.